RNAcentral lists this microRNA precursor (123 nucleotides) under Hordeum vulgare. RNAcentral describes it as "microRNA MIR1122". It matches the Rfam family "MIR1120/MIR1122 microRNA precursor family". Lineage: Eukaryota; Viridiplantae; Streptophyta; Magnoliopsida; Poales; Poaceae. The record is from RNAcentral.
AUAGUACUCCCUCCGUCCGAAAAUACUUGUCAUAAGAAUUGAUGUAUCUAGAUAUAUUUUAGUUUUAGGUGCAUUUUUUAAUCCAUUUGUGUGAAAAAUAAUUCCGGACGAAGAGAGUAUCGU